RNAcentral lists this ribosomal RNA (423 nucleotides) under uncultured bacterium. RNAcentral's name for it is "bacterial SSU rRNA". It matches the Rfam family "Bacterial small subunit ribosomal RNA", at positions 355 to 775 of the family's 1533-position model. The record is from RNAcentral.
UAAGGAAUAUUGGUCAAUGGACGCAAGUCUGAACCAGCCAUGCCGCGUGCAGGAUGACGGCCCUAUGGGUUGUAAACUGCUUUUAUACGGGAAGAAACCCUGAUACGUGUAUCAGGUUGACGGUACUGUAAGAAUAAGGACCGGCUAACUUCGUGCCAGCAGCCGCGGUAAUACGAAGGGUCCAAGCGUUAUCCGGAUUUAUUGGGUUUAAAGGGUGCGUAGGCGGCUUAUUAAGUCAGUGGUGAAAGACUUCAGCUUAACUGAAGAACUGCCAUUGAUACUGAUGAGCUUGAGUACAGUUGAGGUGGGCGGAAUGUGUCAUGUAGCGGUGAAAUGCUUAGAUAUGACACAGAACACCGAUUGCGAAGGCAGCUCGCUAAACUGUAACUGACGCUGAGGCACGAAAGCGUGGGGAGCGAACAG